Molecule: unclassified non-coding RNA, 683 nt
Filed under: Penicillium miczynskii
Lineage: Eukaryota; Fungi; Ascomycota; Eurotiomycetes; Eurotiales; Aspergillaceae
Description: sequence contains ITS1 and 5.8S rRNA gene
Rfam family: Eukaryotic large subunit ribosomal RNA (bases 382-683)
Source: RNAcentral
CCCGCCGAAGCCACCUGUGAACUCUGUCUGAAGUAUGCAGUCUGAGACAAUUAUUAAAUUAAUUAAAACUUUCAACAACGGAUCUCUUGGUUCCGGCAUCGAUGAAGAACGCAGCGAAAUGCGAUAACUAAUGUGAAUUGCAGAAUUCAGUGAAUCAUCGAGUCUUUGAACGCACAUUGCGCCCUCUGGUAUUCCGGAGGGCAUGCCUGUCCGAGCGUCAUUGCUGCCCUCCAGCCCGGCUGGUGUGUUGGGCCCGCCCUUCCCGGGGCGGGCCCGAAAGGCAGCGGCGGCACCGCGUCCGGUCCUCGAGCGUAUGGGGCUUUGUCACCCGCUCUUGUAGGCCCGGCCGGCGCCAGCCGACCCCCUCAAUCUAUUUCAGGUUGACCUCGGAUCAGGUAGGGAUACCCGCUGAACUUAAGCAUAUCAAUAAGCGGAGGAAGAAACCAACCGGGAUUGCCCUAGUAACGGCGAGUGAAGCGGCAAGAGCUCAAAUUUGAAAGCUGGCCUCGGGGUCCGCAUUGUAAUUUGUAGAGGAUGCUUCGGGAGCGGUCCCCAUCUAAGUGCCCUGGAACGGGCCGUCAUAGAGGGUGAGAAUCCCGUAUGGGAUGGUGCCCGCGCCCGUGUGAAGCUCCUUCGACGAGUCGAGUUGUUUGGGAAUGCAGCUCUAAUUGGGUGGUAAAUUU